This 301-nucleotide ribosomal RNA is filed under the name uncultured bacterium. Its description in RNAcentral is "partial 16S ribosomal RNA". It matches the Rfam family "Bacterial small subunit ribosomal RNA", at positions 509 to 807 of the family's 1533-position model. The record is from RNAcentral.
CAGUAGCCGCGGGAAUACGAAGGGUGCAAGCGUUGCUCGGAAUUACUGGGCGUAAAGCGUGCGUAGGUGGUGGUUUAAGUCCGUUGUGAAAGCCCUGGGCUCAACCUGGGAAUUGCAGUGGAUACUGGGUCACUAGAGUGUGGUAGAGGAUAGUGGAAUUUCCGGUGUAGCAGUGAAAUGCGUAGAGAUCGGAAGGAACAUCUGUGGCGAAGGCGACUAUCUGGGCCAACACUGACACUGAGGCACGAAAGCGUGGGGAGCAAACAGGAUUAGAUACCCCCGUAGUCCCUGUCUCUUAUAC